RNAcentral lists this ribosomal RNA (253 nucleotides) under uncultured bacterium. Its description in RNAcentral is "partial 16S ribosomal RNA". It matches the Rfam family "Bacterial small subunit ribosomal RNA", at positions 524 to 776 of the family's 1533-position model. The record is from RNAcentral.
UACGGAGGGGGCGAGCGUUGUCCGAAUUUAUUGGGCGUAAAGCGCGUGUAGGCGGAGAUUCAAGCCUGGGGUGAAAGGUUGGGGCUCAACCCCAACAGGGCCCUGGGGACUGGAUCUCUGGAGGCAGGCAGAGGAGUGUGGAAUUCCUGGUGUAGCGGUGGAAUGCGUAGAGAUCAGGAAGAACACCCGUGGCGAAGGCGGCACUCUGGGCCUGUACUGACGCUGAGACGCGAAAGCGUGGGGAGCGAACGGG